UAGCCAAUAGAAUACACAUGACUUUAUGUUUUAUACUCUAUACUCAAGUAUAAAGUUGCUAAUCUCAAGCAUACUACUCUACCCAUAUGCUAUGAAUUUGAGCCUGAAUAGAGAUUUUGAAAUAUUUACAUGCCUGACAGGAGAAGUUUUGAUUUGUCCAUCAUAGACAUCAAGCGGCCGAUAGAUUCAUUAAAACCAAAACUUUAUUAUGACCAUGCAUAUAUUAUUGGUCAUACCACACAUGAUAAUGUGUGUCGUCUUACUGCAUUAUUACAUAUAUAGAUAGAGAGAGAUGGAUAGAGGAGAUUUCCCAAAUAUCAUGAAUCAGUAGUAGGGCGGAAUGGCAGCGGAGACGCCACAGGGGUUGGUGCGGUAGCUGGGCAGCUGGUACUGGUAGAGUCCACCCAUGGCCGGCAUGUUCUGCGCCAUCAUCAUGGCCAUGGGGUUGAGACCCUGGGCUGCCAGCAGCUGCUGCUGCUGCUGCAUCAGAGCUGGCUCGUACAGGCUGCUGCUGGCGGCAGCGGCACGCUCAAGCUGCAUCAUCAUCUGCAGCUGCUGCGCGACGGACUGCACGUCCAUCAUCCUCAUCUGCUGCUGGCAGCACUGUUGCCGGAGCGGCUGGAACAUGGCGCUCGGCUGCCCACACCCGGCGUAGUAGGGCGCCGCCGCCAGCGGGCUGCACUGCGGCUGCCUCAGGUACUCCGCGUAGGGGUACAGCCCGCCGGCGCCCAUCAUCGUCGUCAGGCCGGCGCCAGCGCCGUACAAGCCCUGCAGCCCCGCGCAGGGGCAGGGCAUCUGCAUUGCAGAGGCGCUGGCAGCUGACAGAGCCAGGCACACGACGAGAACGAUGACCAUCUUCAUGCUGUUCUGUUCGACGAUCCUCUCUACGCACUGCCGCUUUGCUGAUCUGGAUUGGAUGAUGAUAGAGACUAGUUCAUAUGUGGGAGCUAGCCAUUUAUAGAUGAUCCAUGGCUUGCAUUCUGCAGCAUCUUGCAACCCAUGGUUUUGGAAUGUUGCGUUGCAUGACGUGGAAACAUAGUACAUGGAUUUGGAUUUACAGAUAGAUCAUUAAGCUUUCUUAUACAUAUGAAUCAACUUUAC
This 1101-nucleotide long non-coding RNA is filed under the name Zea mays. Its description in RNAcentral is "long non-coding RNA (ZMAY_LNC003702)". Lineage: Eukaryota; Viridiplantae; Streptophyta; Magnoliopsida; Poales; Poaceae. The record is from RNAcentral.